GGGGAAUAUUGCACAAUGGGGGAAACCCUGAUGCAGCGACGCCGCGUGAAGGAAGAAGUAUCUCGGUAUGUAAACUUCUAUCAGCAGGGAAGAUAAUGACGGUACCUGACUAAGAAGCCCCGGCUAACUACGUGCCAGCAGCCGCGGUAAUACGUAGGGGGCAAGCGUUAUCCGGAUUUACUGGGUGCAAAGGGAGCGUAGACGGCGCAGCAAGUCUGAUGUGAAAGGCAGGGGCUUAACCCCUGGACUGCAUUGGAAACUGCUGGGCUUGAGUGCCGGAGGGGUAAGCGGAAUUCCUAGUGUAGCGGUGAAAUGCGUAGAUAUUAGGAGGAACACCAGUGGCGAAGGCGGCUUACUGGACGGUAACUGACGUUGAGGCGCGAAAGCGUGGGGAGCAAAC
RNAcentral lists this ribosomal RNA (400 nucleotides) under uncultured bacterium. RNAcentral's name for it is "bacterial SSU rRNA". It matches the Rfam family "Bacterial small subunit ribosomal RNA", at positions 356 to 773 of the family's 1533-position model. The record is from RNAcentral.